GCGGUGAAGCAGACCGAUUUAAGGAACAAUAAUUUAUGCAGGUUCUUAAAGAAAAGAACACUAUGCUGGCCCAGGAGCUGAGCACAAACCGGACGCAGCUGCGGUCACCGCCGGGUGAGCUAACUCCAAAAACCCGUCCUCAGUUCGGAUUGCAGGCUGCAACUCGCCUGCAUGAAGCAGGAAUCGCUAGUAAUCGCCGGUCAGCCAUACGGCGGU
Molecule: ribosomal RNA, 216 nt
Filed under: Aegilops tauschii subsp. strangulata
Lineage: Eukaryota; Viridiplantae; Streptophyta; Magnoliopsida; Poales; Poaceae
Description: rRNA SSU_rRNA_eukarya
Rfam family: Bacterial small subunit ribosomal RNA
Source: RNAcentral